AGAGCGAACGCUGGCGGCAGGCCUAACACAUGCAAGUCGAGCGCCCGUAGCAAUACGGGAGCGGCAGACGGGAUAGUAACACGUGGGAACGCGCCCCUCGGUUCGGAAUAACUCAGGGAAACUUGAGCUAAUACCGGAUACGCCCUUACGGGGAAAGAUUUAUUGCCGAAGGAACGGCCCGCGUCCGAUUAGCUAGUUGGUGAGGUAAUGGCUCACCAAGGCGACGAUCGGUAGCUGGUCUGAGAGGAUGACCAGCAUCACUGGGACUGAGACACGGCCCAGACUCCUACGGGAGGCAGCAGUGGGGAAUAUUGGACAAUGGGCGCAAGCCUGAUCCAGCCAUGCCGCGUGGAUGAUGAAGGCCUUAGGGUUGUAAAGUCCUUUUAACGGGGAAGAUAAUGACGGUACCGUAGAAUAAGCCCGGCUAACUUCGCGCCAGCAGCCGC
RNAcentral lists this ribosomal RNA (446 nucleotides) under uncultured bacterium. RNAcentral describes it as "SSU rRNA". It matches the Rfam family "Bacterial small subunit ribosomal RNA", at positions 26 to 518 of the family's 1533-position model. The record is from RNAcentral.